Molecule: ribosomal RNA, 1203 nt
Filed under: Triticum aestivum (bread wheat)
Lineage: Eukaryota; Viridiplantae; Streptophyta; Magnoliopsida; Poales; Poaceae
Description: partial small subunit ribosomal RNA
Source: RNAcentral
AUGAAAUACUUGUCAAUGAGGAACUUUUUCUGCUGCAACAAUCUAAUGAGAGAUGGUUGCUUGGGGGGGGGGAUCGAAACACCGCUUAUUACCAAAAAAAUAGCCAAUGGCAAUAAGCGGAAGAAUACAAUACACUCUCUUAAUGUUGGGAGUACGGUGAUUGAGGGGACCGAGAAGCUCCUGGAGCCUGCUACUGACUUUUAUAAAAACCUUUUUGGGCCAGCCCAGGGAAACAUGUUUCAUCUUGACCCUGGUGUCUGGGGGGAAGAUGAGAAACUCGAUGAGCUGGAUAAUGAGAUCCUUAAUAGACCUUUCACGGAGGAAGAAGUGAAGAAGGCUUUAUUCUCCAUGAAAAGCAACAGGGCCCCCGGCCCGGAUAAUAUUCCUGCUGAGUUUUAUCAGCAUUGCUGGGAUAUAGUGAAAGAGGAUAUUAUGAGAUUGUUUACUGCUUUUCAUGUAGGAAAUCUUGAUGUUAGUAGAUUGAAUUAUGGCAUUAUAACUUUAUUGCCUAAAAUCAAUGGGGCCAAUAAGAUCCAGCAGUUUAGGCCAAUUUGCUUGCUUAGAUGUCCCUACAAACUGAUCACUAAGGUGCUUGAUAACAGAGUGGCCCCCUUUGCUGACAAAUUGUUUAGUAGGCACCAGAAUGCUUUCAUUAAGCAUAGAAAUAUCAUGGGUGGAGUAUUGUCUUUUCAUGAGAUUUUGCAUCAUACUUCCAUCAAAAAAAGGGUGGGUAUUAUUAUUAAGCUCGACUUCGAGAAAGCAUAUGACAAGGUGAACUGGGACUUCUUGUUGGAAUGUCUCGAGAUGAGAGGGUUUGGUACCACUUGGUGUAAGUGGGUUAAAAGUAUCUUGGUUGAUGGCACAGUCAGUGUAAAGUUGAACAAUACCAUGGGGCCGUAUUUCAAAAGCUUUAAAGGGGUCAGGCAGGGGGAUCCUGUGUCGUCGUUCCUUUUUAACAUAGCAGUCGAGUGUCUGUGUAAAAUGGUGCUACAGGCUCAGAAAAAUAACUUGAUUGUUGGGCUUGCACCGGACCUUAUUGAAAAUGGAGUGGCCAUUCUGCAAUAUGCAGAUGAUACGGUCUUGUGCAUAGACCAUGAUCUGGAUAAGGCUGUGAACAUGAAACUGUUAUUGUACAUCUUUGAGCUCAUGUCUGGGCUCAAAAUCAAUUUUCAAAAAGGUGAAAUCCUGUGUGUAGGGGGAUGA